Non-coding RNA from Nelumbo nucifera (sacred lotus), 4140 nucleotides. The record is from RefSeq and is a predicted model, not a curated record. Lineage: Eukaryota; Viridiplantae; Streptophyta; Magnoliopsida; Proteales; Nelumbonaceae.
UGUAAAAGAUUGUAUAUUUAGGGAUAAAAUUAUGAUAAUUUUUAUUCUCAUCAAUAAUUAAGAAAAACAUUGUAGAAAGGGAAGACUUCGAGUAGAAAACUUGAGAGCACUUUUUUUGUUAUUUCAUGGGAGGAGACUAGUAUACAGAGGACAUUGGUUUUGGAAACUUUGGUGAGUGAUUGAACCCUAAAAACUUUUAAACGGGUUUACUCUCCACUGAACCUAUAUGUGAAUCCGAGGACCACAUUGGAGAGACCUUCCUCCUAGAGAUUGUACCUAGCUGACUACCGCCAAUGUCCUCUGUUUUCAAAGAUGCCUUGCUCUCUACAUCUUUCUUCUGUGCCGUCCUUCAGAAAACAAUCUUCCAUUUGCCUCUCUCUUCUCCCUUAUCCAUAGGACUACUAAACCUUAAAAUCUAAUUGUUGAGUAUGAGAGAGCUAGGGUUUUUGCAAAUUUGUUAAUCAUAUCAGAACAAUUGGAAAGGAACAUAAGAAAAAUUGACUCAGUGAAAAGAUUUUACUCCAUUGAGUUUAUAAACUAUAUGUGUCAAGCAUAAAAACAUGUGCUAGAUGUAGCAUCAUGGUAUCUUUUAUCAAUAUUUGUUCUUUUUCUUUUAAUUGUAUUAAUAUCCCAAACAAAAGAACUGGUUGAUUGAGCAUGGAAAAUCUAAUUGACUCAGUAAGAACUUUUAAUCCAUUGAAUUUAUAAAUUAUGUGCCAAGCAUGUUGAAUCUAUUGAGUGGACAGAAUUCAAAUAAGUUGCGUGUUCAAAAUUAAUUUUUUCCUUGAACUUUUGAUGGCUUUGAAAAGUUCUCCACAGUUUUCUGAAGUCUGGCAAGGCUCUAAAAGAUAUUAUCCAUGUAUAUCUAUGCAACAUGUAGAAAUUCUCUUAUUUUUGUAACCAUUUAUUUUAAUCUAAUUUUCAUAUGCAAUACUUCCUAAAGUAACUUCAACCUAUGUCUCUACACCAACUAGUUAAAUUGAGCUUCUGUGUUCAAAAGUACUGGUACUUGGUACAUGUUUGGAAUAUCAAAUUCAGGGUAUAUUAUGCAUUGGUUUUCUUAAACGUACUUGGGAACAAAAAGAAAUCACAAGGGAGAAAGCGGUAAAGGAUUUGGAGGUAAGCCAUUAUAUAGUUGUGGAGAGUUCACUAUAUACUAGAAUUCUUAUUCCUUUUUGGUGGGGUCUGAUUUGGUUUCCUGUUGCUUGUAAUUUCCAUGUUUUAAAACUUUCUAAUUCUCAUAAGUAAGAAGUUUGUUUGAUUGAAGAUUGUCCAUUAUAUAAAUUUCAACCCCAUAUUGUAGGGGGACCAUAAUGAUUUGUUUCAAUUACUCCAGUGUGUUGUGAAAUAGAAUGAAAAUGAACCAGAACACCCUUAACAUCAUUACAAUACAUUUACUGAAAAGGUCAAUGUGAUGUUAAAUUUCUCUACUUAAUGUCAUUUCUUCUCAUUCAGGAUUACCUUCCCAAAUACAAGUUGGUUUUAUUUACUUUGGUAAUAGAGUAUGGAGAAACAGUUCUUUCAUAGGUGUUCAAGUGAAUACCUAUAAGGGGCAUUUUUGUCCUUUGAGUUUGGCAUUAUAUUUCCCCUGUUAAGAAUCUAUUAAUAGGUGACUAGGCAACAAGGCGCCCCCUGUCACCCAGCCUUGCCUUGGCAAUUGGCGCCUUGAAAACUAUGUGACUAGUUGAGGGUUGCACUAACUACUUUUGUACAAUUCAGCUUGUUAUCAAUUGCCAGUUUUGACCUGCUUGUAAACAAACUAAUUCCAAUUUGUACCAAAUCAUGUAGGCUAGAGCCUUUUCUUAUAGUUCAAUUGCUAGUUUAUAAUGGAUUCCUAUUUCCUAUUAUCAACAAAUGCACAUGCAAAUGCUCUAGUUGGACUACUGGAGGAAUCAGUAGAUGGUCUUUCUUUUGUGGAACACACCCUAACCUGACCUAAUGUUUUUCUUUCUGUUGAUUAUCUUAUACUGGUUGUGUAUGUGGAGAAGAGCAGUAGUGGGGCUAGCUGCUCUCUUUCCUCAAUUGAGGGGAGGGUUGAUAGCUCUUUUUUUCUGUAAUUCCUUGUACACCUUUGGUGUUUCUGAUUUAAAUAAAAUUAUGAUGUUUCUUAUCCAAGAAAAACACCUAACUAGUUGUAACUUAGUUUUAUGAACUCUUAUUUGUUAUCUCUUUUUUCAUUUUGAUGAAACUAAAUGAAUGAAAACCAGGAUAAUAAAGUUUCAGUCUUGUAAGAAGCUUCUAAGUUUUUGCAUUCUUGUAUGCACUCGUAAAUGCAUUGGUCAAUGACUUAUCUCCAAUUCCUGACUUUCUUUCUUGGGUCCAUGACGAGGUCUUUGCCUUGUUGAUAGUUGAAUCAAGUUUUAGUGUCAUAGUCCAGUAAAAUCGAGCUUGAUUCCAACAUUGAAGUGAAAUCAAAUAAUGUUGAUGUCACCUGAUGUCUUUUAAAUGAAUGUGGUAAUUCUUGAUCUUACACACCAACUAACCUACAUUUUCUAGGUUCAGUUUAGCAUAAACCAAAUCAUUUUUCUUUUUUUUUUGUUUAACACAAUUCAAAUUGAGUUAUUCACAUUCUGGAUGGAUUUCUAGCUAAUUCAGCUUUAGAUUUUCUCAUCUGCAAGAAUCAAUUGAUACCUUAUGCUUUAUUUGUUUUCAUCUUUUUAUACUUAAAUUGAAUGAAAUAUUAUUCUUGUUGGAUAAUGAGAUUUGCUUUUCCUGUCAUGGGCAUCUUACAAUAGUAAUAUACAAUCUCUUUUUUUGAGUAAUUUGUGCAUGGCUUUUUAUUAUUCUUAUUGCUUGUUCAAUUGGAAGAGUAUGAAAUUAUAAAACAAAAAAUUAUGAAUGUUCUUCAUCCCUUUGUUUAGGCUAUUGAUCUUAUGUACUUAUCAUUAUCAUAGGUUCUAUUUUAUGGUUCUAAAUUAGGUGGUGAGAAACCUUUUAGUAAGCCUUCUUCACAUGUUAGAUGAUUUUAUCAAAUCAUUUACUCACUGAUUUGAGCUCCUACCAUGUUUAUUUGGCAACAAAUACUGCUAAUAAGUUCUAGAGUAAGGUGGUGAUAGAUGACCAGACAGGAGGCAAACCUCUUACAUUACAUUCCAAUUACCAAGACUCAAAGGUUUUUUCUUAUAUUGGUUCAGAAAACUUCAGGGCAUUUAAUUCUACAUCAACUAAAGGGUCCAUUGAAUUCAUUUACAGAAAUAGUGAUUUGCAAAUGGACAAUGGGAAAUCCAAAAAGAGAGGUUUAUAUUUGCUCUACCUGUCAUGCAUUUACUUUUUUCCUUUGUUGUUUUUGGUUGAUAUUUUCUUCUUUUAGGAACAAGUGGCAUUCCCUGGCCUGGGAACUCUCGGUGUUAUAUCUGAGGCCACCACCAUGUCCGGUGAGUAACAAAAUACAAGAGGGUACUGCAGUCAAUCCAAAUACAGCUUCAACCAUUAAGGAGAUCACAACCUCCUUAAUAACUUGUUCAUUAAAAGACAAAGCAACAAAUCAUUCAUUCAGCCACUUCAACUAUUUCAAACUUCCCCUUAAGUUUGAUUUGAACUACCAUGAUUCAUUGUUUAUUGUAUUGAUUUUGCUUUGAUAGGUUUUGGAGAGUUUAGAAUUUGUGGAUCAUACACAAAAUUUGUUUGGACACAUUGAAAAUUGUAAUAGAAUUGUCCUGUCAGGAGAUGAAUUGACAUCUUGAACAGUGAAAUUUGUCAUCAAAGUGGAUCAUUUUCAUCUUUAAGUUUUGCUUGGAAGGUUUACAUGAUAUCAAAUUAUUCUUGGCCUUGCAUAUAGACCAUUAUCAAAUUGUUCUUGAAGGUUUCCGUGAUAUCAGAAUAAAUGUCUACCAUGAGUACUAUAGUCCAAUGGGUGGUGUGAAUGAUGAUCUAAAGAACAGGAAGAAGAAGACGAAGCCAUUCUUGCAGGUAAUUGAAGUGAAGAGUUUAAAUCAAGAAGACUAUUUCAUCCAACUAUCAAUUUUGAAGAAUAUAACAAAGUUUAUUUUAUUUUGGACAACAUAUGAAUUAUUAGUUUAAGUUAAUUUUAUGAAAAACAUAUUGUAAUUUUUGAGAGGAUGGGGACUUGUAUUUAUUUGAAUAUUUGUAUUUAGUGAAUCUUGUUGUUAUUAUAAUUAUUAAUAAAGAUUUUUUUUUUAA